This 460-nucleotide ribosomal RNA is filed under the name uncultured bacterium. RNAcentral describes it as "partial 16S ribosomal RNA". It matches the Rfam family "Bacterial small subunit ribosomal RNA", at positions 338 to 795 of the family's 1533-position model. The record is from RNAcentral.
CCUACGGGAGGCAGCAGUGAGGAAUAUUGGUCAAUGGGCGCGAGCCUGAACCAGCCAAGUAGCGUGAAGGAUGACUGCCCUACGGGUUGUAAACUUCUUUUAUAAAGGAAUAAAGUGAGGCACGUGUGCCUUUAUGUGUGUACUUUAUGAAUAAGGAUCGGCUAACUCCGUGCCAGCAGCCGCGGUAAUACGGAGGAUCCGAGCGUUAUCCGGAUUUAUUGGGUUUAAAGGGAGCGUAGAUGGGUUGUUAAGUCAGUUGUGAAAGUUUGCGGCUCAACCGUAAGAUUGCAAUUGAUACUGGCAGUCUUGAGUACAGGUGAGGUAGGCGGAAUGCGUGGUGUAGCGGUGAAAUGCUUAGAUAUCACGAAGAACUCCGAUUGCGAAGGCAGCUUACUAAACUGACACUGACAUUGAGGCACGAAAGUGUGGGUAUCAAACAGGAUUAGAUACCCGAGUAGUC